UGGGGAAUUUUGGACAAUGGGCGCAAGCCUGAUCCAGCCAUGCCGCGUGCGGGAAGAAGGCCUUCGGGUUGUAAACCGCUUUUGUCAGGGAAGAAAUCUUCUGAGUUAAUACCUCGGGAGGACGACGGUACCUGAAGAAUAAGCACCGGCUAACUACGUGCCAGCAGCCGCGGUAAUACGUAGGGUGCAAGCGUUAAUCGGAAUUACUGGGCGUAAAGCGUGCGCAGGCGGUUUUGUAAGACAGAGGUGAAAUCCCCGGGCUCAACCUGGGAACUGCCUUUGUGACUGCAAGGCUUGAGUGCGGCAGAGGGGGCAUGGAAUUCCGCGUGUAGCAGUGAAAUGCGUAGAUAUGCGGAGGAACACCGAUGGCGAAGGUAAUUCCCCCUGGGCCUGCACUGACGCUUCAUGCACGAAAGCGUGGGGAGCAAACAGGAUUAGAUACCCUGGUAGUCC
This 453-nucleotide ribosomal RNA is filed under the name uncultured bacterium. Its description in RNAcentral is "partial 16S ribosomal RNA". It matches the Rfam family "Bacterial small subunit ribosomal RNA", at positions 355 to 796 of the family's 1533-position model. The record is from RNAcentral.